Long non-coding RNA from Peromyscus eremicus (cactus mouse), 1240 nucleotides. RefSeq lists it as uncharacterized. The transcript is spliced from 3 exons. NCBI's taxonomy places the organism in Eukaryota, Metazoa, Chordata, Mammalia, Rodentia, Cricetidae. The record is from RefSeq and is a predicted model, not a curated record.
UGAGGUCACCUAGGAGAUAACUGCCACAUUUGCCACAAGCUCAGCUGCUCAUAGAUUUCAGCUGUGCCUUCUGAAAAGAUGACCAGAAAGCUUCCUAGACCUCUGGGCUCUUUACGAAACCCACCUUCUCCACCUCCUCCUUCCCCUCUUCAUCCAGUCUCCUUUCAUUUCCUGCCUGUGCCAGCAACCACCCCUAAACCUGCUGCAGAGACCAAUUCCCUUUUUGUUUACCAACCUACCCAUUUCCCUUCUAUAAGGCACGCUUCCUUCUUCCCCACCUUAAUGGUCCACAUGCCCUCCUCUUCCUCUAUUGACAGACUUCCCACUAAGUGCCCUGAUCUUGUUUUUUUCCCUUCCCCCAACUCCUCCAACUUUCCCUUAACUCCUCCCAAUAGCCCUACCAAAGCAAUGCAUUUUAUCUCACGACCACAAAAAAGGCAGCUAUUGACUGCUAGAUUGGGACCAAGGAUGAAAUGUCCCAGGACACACAGACUAUAAGUGAAGAAAGUGGUUGGGAACUGGAGCCUCGAUUCUCCUCUUUCCAUAACCAAGAUGACGUCAUUGGCAAAAAUCUGCACAAGCUGUCUCCAACUAUAUUUCAACUGAGACCAACUGAGGAAUUUCAUGCAAGAAUUUCAAGGCAAGAGCUGGCGUUUCCAAAAAGAAGCGUCACUGAUAAGGAAGGGCUUAUAAAAUAGUUUAUCUAGAUACUCAGUUGAUGUCAAAGUGAUCGACAAGCUGUCGCUGACGAUAAGAACACACUAGAAGGACAACUGCCAAUAAACUACAAAGAAGACAGAACUAUUUGUCCAACUGGAAUGAGUUACUGUCUUAAACUGACCAAGUUUAUGAUGAGACAGGAAAACAGGCCCAGUCUACAUGUUAUCUAUACAGUCCAGGAUUGCUCUGUCUAUGACAACUCCAUUCUCAGUGAGCAGAUAGUUCACUUUGCUGAAAGGACAGAACAUUGCAUUUCUAUUCACCAGGCAUUCACCAGUGAUGAGGAUAAUGACGACAGCCUCUGGAGAAAUGCACUCAACCAUGUUGGGGUACUGACUCUUUCCCAUUUCCCCAGUUCCUGGUUUGGAGUCCUCACUAAGAACACAAUUGUUGCAUGCUCUGCAGCUGGGGUCCUACUGUCUCUGAUCCCGGGGGAAGGGGGUGAAUAGAUGCAGAACCAAACAACACAGGCUCUGGGAGGUUGUAAGCAAUCUUGCUUAUUAAACAAAGGACUGAGGUA